RNAcentral lists this long non-coding RNA (1231 nucleotides) under Gallus gallus (chicken). Its description in RNAcentral is "lncRNA (ENSGALG00010017254.1)". Lineage: Eukaryota; Metazoa; Chordata; Aves; Galliformes; Phasianidae. The record is from RNAcentral.
GGAAGACUGAAUGAGCAAAGAAUUGUACCAGGGGGCAAGUCCCUCUAAAGAAAUGGCUGUGUAUUGGCUAUGUCACUUGUCAAGGUCACUGCUCUUACUCAUGAGGACAGGGCUUUGACCCUGCAGGUAUUUAUGGGGCUUGGAGUGGGUGACUGGGAAGUGUAAAAAGCAUCAGUGUAGAGUAGAGAACAGCUGGCAGCUUCUCUUCCCUCCAGGCUUUCCCUGUGUUCUAAGGUGGGGAAUGCAGAAGCUUUUUGAGUUCUGGUUUGCGCAAUAUGGCCCAGUGAGGUCUGGCAGCAUGCAUUCCUGUGCGUUGUGGAGCAGUGCAAGAUCUCUGCAGCAGACAAAGCAACCCCUGCUCUUCUCAGAGAUGGACACGGAAGCCUUGCUGAGAGUGGAAUAAUAACUAUAUUGAGCAUCAGAACGUGGAGGGAGUCUGAGUGGGCAGUAACACUGCAUCAGGAACAAGAAGGCAACAGCAAGAAGUUGUUUCUCUCUUGUUCACCCCUAAAGCUAUACCUUGCAUCAGCAGGUCUCAAAGUUGGCAUUUUGAAUCAGUCCCUGCUGCUGCUUGCUCUGGUGCUCAGUUCCAGUGCAGCAGUCCUUCUGACAUGUUUGUGCUUCUCUUCACAGUGCAGCAGCCUGAAUUGUACUUAAGUGGGCAAAUUAAGGGAAUAAGGGGCUCAUUUAGUGAUGCUGUAUGGAGAAUUCUGUCUCCUGCAGACCUGGCCAAUGUGAUCAGAAGAACUCACAGGUGAUAUUGGACCAAAAGUGUGGGCCCCACCUCACCCCACUGUCCAAGAAGACUGUUAAUGUUGAGGAUUGUCUCUAGAAGCCACAUCCAGAAAGUGUUUCUGCUCCUUUUGCUGUGGAAUGAAAGCUGUACAUCACAAACUGGGACAGUAAGGAAUAACCAGCCUACCUGGCAGCAAUGAGAAACAUCCCUGAAGGCUUCCUUUGUCCAAGAGCAGCUAAUCACAAGCUAAAAUUCCUAUAAUGCAGGAGAUAGGAAUGCACGGCACAAGGAGCGCUCAUGACCUGAGAAACAGGAUCUACACGUGAGUAAAUCUGGAGGAUGAAGGUGACUGCCUAUCACCAGCUGUUCUGAGUGGAAAUCUAGCACAGCAGAAUGCUGGGGCCAGGAAGGACAGCAUUUGCACAGUGCACACUGCCCACUGGAUAGAGUGCUUUUUCAGAGCUGUGUCUUUACACCUUUGCAAUCCAAGUAAAG